RNAcentral lists this ribosomal RNA (1530 nucleotides) under Escherichia coli. RNAcentral's name for it is "bacterial SSU rRNA". It matches the Rfam family "Bacterial small subunit ribosomal RNA". RNAcentral also lists the same sequence under 3 other names. The record is from RNAcentral. Lineage: Bacteria; Pseudomonadati; Pseudomonadota; Gammaproteobacteria; Enterobacterales; Enterobacteriaceae.
AGAGUUUGAUCAUGGCUCAGAUUGAACGCUGGCGGCAGGCCUAACACAUGCAAGUCGAACGGUAACAGAAAGCAGCUUGCUGCUUUGCUGACGAGUGGCGGACGGGUGAGUAAUGUCUGGGAAACUGCCUGAUGGAGGGGGAUAACUACUGGAAACGGUAGCUAAUACCGCAUAACGUCGCAAGACCAAAGAGGGGGACCUUCGGGCCUCUUGCCAUCGGAUGUGCCCAGAUGGGAUUAGCUUGUUGGUGGGGUAACGGCUCACCAAGGCGACGAUCCCUAGCUGGUCUGAGAGGAUGACCAGCCACACUGGAACUGAGACACGGUCCAGACUCCUACGGGAGGCAGCAGUGGGGAAUAUUGCACAAUGGGCGCAAGCCUGAUGCAGCCAUGCCGCGUGUAUGAAGAAGGCCUUCGGGUUGUAAAGUACUUUCAGCGGGGAGGAAGGGAGUAAAGUUAAUACCUUUGCUCAUUGACGUUACCCGCAGAAGAAGCACCGGCUAACUCCGUGCCAGCAGCCGCGGUAAUACGGAGGGUGCAAGCGUUAAUCGGAAUUACUGGGCGUAAAGCGCACGCAGGCGGUUUGUUAAGUCAGAUGUGAAAUCCCCGGGCUCAACCUGGGAACUGCAUCUGAUACUGGCAAGCUUGAGUCUCGUAGAGGGGGGUAGAAUUCCAGGUGUAGCGGUGAAAUGCGUAGAGAUCUGGAGGAAUACCGGUGGCGAAGGCGGCCCCCUGGACGAAGACUGACGCUCAGGUGCGAAAGCGUGGGGAGCAAACAGGAUUAGAUACCCUGGUAGUCCACGCCGUAAACGAUGUCGACUUGGAGGUUGUGCCCUUGAGGCGUGGCUUCCGGAGCUAACGCGUUAAGUCGACCGCCUGGGGAGUACGGCCGCAAGGUUAAAACUCAAAUGAAUUGACGGGGGCCCGCACAAGCGGUGGAGCAUGUGGUUUAAUUCGAUGCAACGCGAAGAACCUUACCUGGUCUUGACAUCCACAGAACUUUCCAGAGAUGGAUUGGUGCCUUCGGGAACUGUGAGACAGGUGCUGCAUGGCUGUCGUCAGCUCGUGUUGUGAAAUGUUGGGUUAAGUCCCGCAACGAGCGCAACCCUUAUCCUUUGUUGCCAGCGGUCCGGCCGGGAACUCAAAGGAGACUGCCAGUGAUAAACUGGAGGAAGGUGGGGAUGACGUCAAGUCAUCAUGGCCCUUACGACCAGGGCUACACACGUGCUACAAUGGCGCAUACAAAGAGAAGCGACCUCGCGAGAGCAAGCGGACCUCAUAAAGUGCGUCGUAGUCCGGAUUGGAGUCUGCAACUCGACUCCAUGAAGUCGGAAUCGCUAGUAAUCGUGGAUCAGAAUGCCACGGUGAAUACGUUCCCGGGCCUUGUACACACCGCCCGUCACACCAUGGGAGUGGGUUGCAAAAGAAGUAGGUAGCUUAACCUUCGGGAGGGCGCUUACCACUUUGUGAUUCAUGACUGGGGUGAAGUCGUAACAAGGUAACCGUAGGGGAACCUGCGGUUGGAUCACCU